GAUGAACGCUGGCGGCGUGCCUAAUACAUGCAAGUCGAGCGAACGGACGAGAAGCUUGCUUUUCUGAUGUUAGCGGCGGACGGGUGAGUAACACGUGGAUAACCUACCUAUAAGACUGGGAUAACUUCGGGAAACCGGAGCUAAUACCGGAUAAUAUUUUGAACCGCAUGGUUCAAAAGUGAAAGACGGUCUUGCUGUCACUUAUAGAUGGAUCCGCGCUGCAUUAGCUAGUUGGUAAGGUAACGGCUUACCAAGGCAACGAUGCAUAGCCGACCUGAGAGGGUGAUCGGCCACACUGGAACUGAGACACGGUCCAGACUCCUACGGGAGGCAGCAGUAGGGAAUCUUCCGCAAUGGGCGAUAGCCUGACGGAGCAACGCCGCGUGAGUGAUGAAGGUCUUCGGAUCGUAAAACUCUGUUAUUAGGGAAGAACAUAUGUGUAAGUAACUGUGCACAUCUUGACGGUACCUAAUCAGAAAGCCACGGCUAACUACGUG
This 497-nucleotide ribosomal RNA is filed under the name uncultured bacterium. RNAcentral describes it as "partial 16S ribosomal RNA". It matches the Rfam family "Bacterial small subunit ribosomal RNA", at positions 28 to 507 of the family's 1533-position model. The record is from RNAcentral.